GGUCGCAAGUUCAAGGCCACAGCAGAAGUAUUCAUGGUGAGGCCCUGUCAGAUUCCAAUGAAUCUGCAAAUUCUGCU
This 77-nucleotide ribozyme is filed under the name Crocodylus porosus (Australian saltwater crocodile). Its description in RNAcentral is "Mammalian CPEB3 ribozyme (ENSCPRG00005003719.1)". It matches the Rfam family "Mammalian CPEB3 ribozyme". Rfam says of the family: The mammalian CPEB3 ribozyme is a self cleaving RNA located in the second intron of the CPEB3 gene which belongs to a family of genes regulating messenger RNA polyadenylation. This ribozyme is highly conserved and found only in mammals. The record is from RNAcentral. Lineage: Eukaryota; Metazoa; Chordata; Crocodylia; Crocodylidae.